AGCGAAUCUUUAGGAGCUUGCUCCUGAAGGUUAGCSGCGGACGGGUGAGUAACACGUGGGCAACCUGCCUAUAAGACUGGGAUAACUUCGGGAAACCGGAGCUAAUACCGGAUAAUCCUUUUCCUCUCAUGAGGGAAAGCUGAAAGACGGUUUCGGCUGUCACUUAUAGAUGGGCCCGCGGCGCAUUAGCUAGUUGGUGAGGUAACGGCUCACCAAGGCGACGAUGCGUAGCCGACCUGAGAGGGUGAUCGGCCACACUGGGGCUGAGACACGGCCCAGACUCCUACGGGAGGCAGCAGUAGGGAAUCUUCCGCAAUGGACGAAAGUCUGACCGAGCAACGCCGCGUGAGCGAUGAAGGCCUUCCGGUCGUAAAGCUCUGUUGUUAGGGAAGAACAAGUAUCGGAGUAACUGCCGGUACCUUGACGGGACCUAACCAGAAAGCCACGGCUAACUACGUGCCAGCAGCCGCGGUGAUACGUAGGUGGCAAGCGUUGUCCGGAAUUAUUGGGCGUAAAGCGCGCGCAAGCGGUCCUUUAAGUCUGAUGUGAAAGCCCACAGGUCAAACGUGGAGGGUCAUUGGAAACUGGGGAGACUUGAGCACCGAAAAAGGAAAGUGGAAUUCCAC
This 626-nucleotide ribosomal RNA is filed under the name uncultured bacterium. RNAcentral describes it as "bacterial SSU rRNA". It matches the Rfam family "Bacterial small subunit ribosomal RNA", at positions 65 to 672 of the family's 1533-position model. The record is from RNAcentral.